This 1065-nucleotide ribosomal RNA is filed under the name Sporormiella megalospora. RNAcentral describes it as "mitochondrial SSU rRNA". It matches the Rfam family "Bacterial small subunit ribosomal RNA", at positions 356 to 1264 of the family's 1533-position model. Lineage: Eukaryota; Fungi; Ascomycota; Dothideomycetes; Pleosporales; Sporormiaceae. The record is from RNAcentral.
GAGGAAUAUUGGUCAAUGGCCUAACGGCUGAACCAGCAACUUGCAGGAAUGAGAGUUAAUAUAAUAACAAUUAUUAACUUGCUUGACUAGGUCUUAUAAAGUUCUGGAUAAAGCUGAUAAUGACAACUUUAUAUCCAUAGUUCUCGACUAAAUCUUGUGCCAGCAGUCGCGGUAAGACAAGGGAGACGAGUGUUAUUCAUCUUGAACAGGUAUAUUGGGUACCUAGACUGUGUGGGAUGGCUUUUAUAGUACCCCCUACACUAGAGUUUAAUAUGUGAGAGGAAGAUGUCAGAAUUAUUAGAGUAGAGAUGAAAUCCUUUAAUACUAAUAGGACUGAUAAUGGCGAAGGCAAACCUCUAUGUAUAUGUACUUAAAAAAUAAUCUAUUUUUCAUAAAACAGUUAAUCUAUAAAAGUUAAAUAGACAGGAAGAAAGAAAAUAUACAGUUUUAUUAUUGUAUAUGCCUGAGUAAGAAUAUAUGCCUGAGUAAGAAUAUAUAUUAAAAUAAAAGUACUAAACUGACGUUGAGGGACGAAGGCUCAGAGAGUGAAGAGGAUUAGAUACCCCCGUAGCCUGGGCAGACAAUGAUGAGUGCCAUAGGUUGGCUUUAAGUUGAACUAUAAAUGAAAGUGGAAGCACUCCACCUCAAGAGUAAUGUGGCAACGCAGGAACUGAAAUCAUUAGACCGUUUCUGAAACCAGUAGUGAAGUAUGUUAUUUAAUUCGAUGAUCCGCGAAUAACCUUACCACAAUUUGAAUGUUCUAAUUUAGAUAGUUACUUUAAAAUAUAAUUAAUGUAAUUUUUUUAAAUUACAUUAAUAAAAUAUAUUAUGUAAUUAUACCACACAGAUCACAUGCGUUGCAUGGCUGUCUUCAGUUAAUGUCGUGAGAUUUGGUUAGGUCCAUUAAAUUAACGUAAACCCUUGCUUUAUUUAAUGUAAUAAGGCAGCUCUCCGCUUACAACUGGAUAUGACAACAGGGACUAAGACAAGUCAUCAUGGCCUUAAUAUUGUGGGCUAUAGACGUGCCACAUGUGCCUUUACAAAGGGAUGCAAUAAUGCGAAUUG